AGCCACUGCUGCUCUGAGCUGCCCUUGCAGUGAAAGUCAACCACGUGUGGUCAGUAAGCGCCGGAGCAGGGGUGGCAGAGGCUGGCUAGAUCCAGUUCUGCUUGCAGCAGAUCCUGCCUAGGCUUUGCUCCUCCUUGCUUGGUGGGCCUUGAAAUCUGGUGCAGUGGUGUGGAAAUGAGCAGAGUCCCCCAGGAGGACUGCGGCGCCCGUACUCUGCUCUUCCUGUUGUGAGCCAUCCCCACCCUCACCUUCCUGUGGGAAAGGUGGGCUCCAGGCUCCUGAGGGCACCACCUGGGUCUCUCUGGUGCCCCUGGUGGCUGCAUGUGGCCUAACAGAGUGCCAGCCGGGGAAUGGGCCGAGUGCUCCCAGUCC
RNAcentral lists this long non-coding RNA (372 nucleotides) under Fukomys damarensis (Damara mole-rat). RNAcentral describes it as "lncRNA (ENSFDAG00000027128.1)". The record is from RNAcentral. Lineage: Eukaryota; Metazoa; Chordata; Mammalia; Rodentia; Bathyergidae.